AUCCAGUUGACGAGUCUCAAAUAAGACGAAACGCGCGUCCUAGAU
This 45-nucleotide non-coding RNA is filed under the name Schistosoma mansoni. The record is from RNAcentral. Lineage: Eukaryota; Metazoa; Platyhelminthes; Trematoda; Strigeidida; Schistosomatidae.